This 1096-nucleotide long non-coding RNA is filed under the name Salmo salar (Atlantic salmon). RNAcentral's name for it is "lncRNA (ENSSSAG00000111700.1)". Lineage: Eukaryota; Metazoa; Chordata; Actinopteri; Salmoniformes; Salmonidae. The record is from RNAcentral.
AAAAUGGCCAGAAACAAAUUACUUUCUCAUUCUCAUCUCAUUCCAAAAUCAUGGGCAUUAAUAUGGAGUUGGUCUCCCCUUUGCUGCUAUAACAGCCUCCACUCUUCUGGGAAGGCUUUCCACUAGAUGUUGGAACAUUGCUGCGGGUACGUGCUUCCAUUCAGCCACAAGCACAUUAGUGAAGUCGGGCACUGAUGAUGGGCGAUUAGGCCUGGUUCGCAAUCGGUGUUCCAAUUAAUCUCAAAGGUAUUCAAUGGGGUUGAAGUCAGGGCUCUGCGCAGGCCAGUGAAGUUCUUCCACGCCGAUCUCAACAAACCAUUUCUGUAUGGACCUCGCUUUGUGCACGGGGGCAUUGUCAUGCUGGAACAUGAAAGGGCCUUCCCCAAACUUCGCUCUUGCACAGGGGCGGCAGCGUAGCCUAGUGGGGCAGGUUGCAAGAUCGAAUCCCCGAGCUGACAAGGUACAAAUCUGUCGUUCUGCCCCUGAACAAGGCAGUUAACCCACUGUUCCUAGGCCAUCAUUGAAAAUAAGAAUUUGUUCUUAACUGACUUGCCUAGUUAAAUAAAGGUAAAAUUAAAAAAAACUGUUGCCACAAACUUGGAAGCACAGAAUUGUCUAGAAUGUCAUUAUAUGCUGUAGCAUUAAGACUUCCCUUCACUGUAACUAAGGGGCCUAGCCCAAACCAUGAAAAACAGCCCCAGACCAUUAUUCCUCCUCCACCAGAUGUUAUAGUUGGCACUAUGUUAUAGUUGGCACAGGUAGCGUUCUCCUGGCAUCGACCAGAUGGUGAAGCGUGAUUCAUCACUCCAGAGAAUGCAUUUCCACUGCUCCAGAUGCCAAUGGCGGCGAGCUUUACACCACUCCAGCCGACGCGUGGCAUUGCACAUGGUGAUCUUAGGCUUGUGUGCGGCUGCUCGGCCAUGGAAUCCAAUUUCAUGAAGCUCCCGACGAACAGUUCUUGUGCUGACGUUGCUUCCAGAGGCAGUUUGGAACUCGGUAAACUACAAAUGCCUGUCUCAAGCUUCACAUCACCAGGGCCAUGAUGAUCUGGACGAGACUGCCGAAUUGAGGCAAAGGCACAGAUCUAGGAUCAGCG